AUACGGAGGAUGCGAGCGUUAUCCGGAUUUAUUGGGUUUAAAGGGAGCGUAGGUGGGAUAUUAAGUCAGCUGUGAAAGUUUGGGGCUCAACCUUAAAAUUGCAGUUGAUACUGGUUUCCUUGAGUACGGUACAGGUGGGCGGAAUUCGGGGUGUAGCGGUGAAAUGCUUAGAUAUCACGAAGAACUCCGAUCGCGAAGGCAGCUCACCGGGCCGGAACUGACACUGAUGCUCGAAAGUGCGGGUAUCAAACAGGAUUAGAUACCCUGGUAGUCCGCACAGUAAACGAUGAAUACUCGCUGUUUGCGAUACACUGUAAGCGGCCAAGCGAAAGCGUUAAGUAUUCCACCUGGGGAGUACGCCGGCAACGGUGAAACUCAAAUGAAUUGACGGGG
This 393-nucleotide ribosomal RNA is filed under the name uncultured bacterium. RNAcentral describes it as "partial 16S ribosomal RNA". It matches the Rfam family "Bacterial small subunit ribosomal RNA", at positions 523 to 918 of the family's 1533-position model. The record is from RNAcentral.